CAGUAGCCACGGUAAUACGAAGGGUGCAAGCGUUAAUCGGAAUUACUGGGCGUAAAGCGUGCGUAGGCGGUUUGUUAAGUCUGCUGUGAAAUCCCCGGGCUCAACCUGGGAAUGGCAGUGGAUACUGGCAAGCUAGAGUGUGUCAGAGGAUGGUGGAAUUCCCGGUGUAGCGGUGAAAUGCGUAGAGAUCGGGAGGAACAUCAGUGGCGAAGGCGGCCAUCUGGGACAACACUGACGCUGAGGCACGAAAGCGUGGGGAGCAAACAGGAUUAGAUACCCGCGUAGUCCCUGUCUCUUAUAA
This 301-nucleotide ribosomal RNA is filed under the name uncultured bacterium. RNAcentral's name for it is "partial 16S ribosomal RNA". It matches the Rfam family "Bacterial small subunit ribosomal RNA", at positions 509 to 809 of the family's 1533-position model. The record is from RNAcentral.